AUAUCUACAUAGAACUCUCUCUCUCUCUCUCCGUGAAAAAAAAGAACUCUCCUCUCCUCCCGUACGAUCCCCACCAGGCUCCUCAUACACAUCCGCCAUUUCUUCCGAUUUGCCGCCGGCGAAGGACGGCGUCUCUAUGCCCCAUCAGGAAACUAAUCCUCACGCUAUCCCAGAUCCACAUGUCACUUCUUUUCUCCUGAUUUUUCUUCCUUGGUGGUGGCACAUGUGGCUGGGUGAGUGCGUGGAUCUCGGCGAACUCGUCGACUCUGGCAACGCGGUCACGGAGAUGUCUAGUGGGAACGCGGGUUGUGCUGCUCAAACUUGUCGUGCCCGGAGGCUCUGGAUGUUGGGGCCGCGGAGGCAUUGAGGGAGCUCGCGGAGGAAGAAAUAUCUGCAAGACGUGAGUAUCUUCUGUGAGUGGCUGUUAGCUGUUGCCCUCCUGCUGCCCGGACUUCUACCAAAUCACAAAGGGCCACUUUGAGUCACUUGGUGACAUAAUGAUUAUAGGAGCAUCACCUGCAAACCUACCUUCAGUUUUAGCUCGUGGAUUGGAAUUCCUGGGAAGAUCAUGUUGCUAAGGAACUCUAUUGCACACAUAUUCUCCAUUGUGUUGUAAUUCAUUGUUGCCUUGCACACAGUGUCCAAGUAUAGGAUUGCUCUUUCUUUGAGAAGUUCACGGUUACGAUAGUUUUGCUGCAAGUUUGGAUCGUAAUAUCCAUUCUGCAAAUACGGCCACAUUUUGCUUUUCUAUUGGAUCUUCUGACAGACUUUAGCCGCAUGUUUUCAGUUAGUCUAAAUAUUUCGAAGUACUUCCAUAGAGUGUGCAUAGUAGAUUCUUCCAAUAGCGAAGCCCCUUUUCGGCUCCCCAAGUUUUGGUUUCGCUUUUCCAUACAAAUUUUGAUGGGAAUUCUGCAUAGUCUCUUGACUGGUGGAUCACGAUGGUGUGUAGAUCAAACUGGAAUAUCCGCCAGUAUGCUCCAGUUGUUGAUAUGUAUCUCAUCUCUAGGUACUUGAUUGACCUGGGCCUGUUGCACCACUCGACAUUUAUGUGACCUUGGAAUUGACCAAAAGGUUGUGGUUGUAUGGCCAAAAGUGCUUUGGCGUCACUUCUUCCGAGGUCGAUUGGAGUAGCUGGGCAUGGCUUCGUCAUGCGUUGAGUGUGCUUUGGCGUGACUUCGUCGGACGUAGAGUGAAGUGGCUGGAGGUGGCUUUGCGUAUCAAACGUCGAGUUGCCUAGUUGCGUGUGAUGUCUUCAAGCCAUCUGAGUUGCCGAGUCGCGUGUGAUGUCUUCAAGCCAUCUUGCUUGCCGACUUCCAAAUUUUUGGUGUUGCUUUUGCGGCCGGCUGUACUUGUUUAUAUAUGGGUGGAGGUGCGUGGGUUGAGGUGGCCGAGACCGUGAAAGAAGAUCGGAAACCUGUCUUUUUUUCAUGUCUUGGCUCCUGUUUUGGAACUUCCUCACGUGAGGUCUGGUUAGGUCCAAUCGUUGUCCUUAUUUGUUUAGGUUUCCUACUAUUUUUGCUUCCUUGACCCAUUGUUUAAAAGAUUUUUUUUCUGCGGGCUAGUUGACGAUUUGGAUGGAACCUAUGUGCACUAUUUGUACGUGGCAUGUUAUACUACUUGUACAUGUACAUAUUUUUACGUUACGUUUGCAUCUUUUAAUCUCAGCCGUUAAAAGAUAAAAUAAAGGAUCAAGAUAAUUUGAUC
Molecule: long non-coding RNA, 1704 nt
Organism: Triticum aestivum (bread wheat)
Lineage: Eukaryota; Viridiplantae; Streptophyta; Magnoliopsida; Poales; Poaceae
Exons: 9
Source: RefSeq, a predicted model, not a curated record